Molecule: ribosomal RNA, 253 nt
Filed under: uncultured bacterium
Lineage: Bacteria
Description: partial 16S ribosomal RNA
Rfam family: Bacterial small subunit ribosomal RNA
Source: RNAcentral
UACGUAGGGCGCAAGCGUUGUCCGGAAUUACUGGGCGUAAAGGGCGCGUAGGCGGCCCGCUAAGUCGAACGUGAAAUCCCCGAGCUCAACUCGGGAACUGCGUCCGAUACUGGCGGGCUUGAAUCCGGGAGAGGGAUGCGGAAUUCCAGGUGUAGCGGUGAAAUGCGUAGAUAUCGGGAGGAACACCAGUGGCGAAGGCGGCAACCUGGACAGAUAUUGACGCUGAGGUGCGAAAGCGUGGGGAGCAAACAGG